UACGGAGGGUGCAAGCGUUAUCCGGAUUUACUGGGCUUAAAGGGUGCGUAGGUGGGUUGGUAAGUCAGUGGUGAAAUACUUUCGCUUAACGAAGGAACUGCCAUUGAUACUAUCAAUCUUGAAUACAGUGGAGGUGGGCGGAAUGCGUCAUGUAGUGGUGAAAUACUUAGAUAUGACGCAGAACACCUAUUGCGAAGGCAGCUCGCUACACUGUUAUUGACACUGAGGCACGAAAGCGUGGGGAUCAAACAGG
RNAcentral lists this ribosomal RNA (253 nucleotides) under uncultured bacterium. RNAcentral's name for it is "partial 16S ribosomal RNA". It matches the Rfam family "Bacterial small subunit ribosomal RNA", at positions 524 to 776 of the family's 1533-position model. The record is from RNAcentral.